This 72-nucleotide transfer RNA is filed under the name Chiropotes albinasus. RNAcentral describes it as "tRNA-Gln". It matches the Rfam family "tRNA". Rfam says of the family: Transfer RNA (tRNA) molecules are approximately 80 nucleotides in length. Their secondary structure includes four short double-helical elements and three loops (D, anti-codon, and T loops). Lineage: Eukaryota; Metazoa; Chordata; Mammalia; Primates; Pitheciidae. The record is from RNAcentral.
UAGAGUAUAGUGUAAUGGGUAGCACAGAGAGUUUUGAGUUCUCAGGUAUGGGUUCAAGUCCUAUAAUUCUAG